UGAACGCUGGCGGCGUGCCUAACACAUGCAAGUCGAACGAAACUGAUUUCAUGAAACUUCGGUAGAUUGGAUGAAAGUUGAGUGGCGGACGGGUGAGUAACACGUGGGCAACCUGCCUCACAGAGGGGGAUAGCAGUUGGAAACGACUGAUAAUACCGCAUAAGCACACAGUACCGCAUGGUACAGGGUGAAAAGAUUUAUCACUGUGGGAUGGACCCGCGUCUGAUUAGCCAGUUGGCAGGGUAACGGCCUACCAAAGCGACGAUCAGUAGCCGGUCUGAGAGGAUGAACGGCCACAUUGGGACUGAGACACGGCCCAGACUCCUACGGGAGGCAGCAGUGGGGAAUCUUCCGCAAUGGACGAAAGUCUGACGGAGCAACGCCGCGUGAACGAUGACGGCCUUCGGGUUGUAAAGUUCUGUUAUACGGGACGAAUGGUACGACGGUCAAUACCCGUCGUAAGUGACGGUACCGUAAGAGAAAGCCACGGCUAACUACGUG
This 501-nucleotide ribosomal RNA is filed under the name uncultured bacterium. Its description in RNAcentral is "bacterial SSU rRNA". It matches the Rfam family "Bacterial small subunit ribosomal RNA", at positions 30 to 507 of the family's 1533-position model. The record is from RNAcentral.